AGGCAGUGGAUGGCAUACUGGCUCAGUCAGCAGCACAGAACCACAGAAUAAGAAAAAAAAAAUGCAUCAGUAGACUUUCUCUAUAACAUAGGUUGUUGUGAGAAUCUCAAGCUCGCAAGGUCUCACAGAGAAAAAUAAUUGAAUGGCAAUGAGACUAGCAUAGCAGUGUGUCGUCAAAGCUCAUUCAAAGAAGGGUGGAGAAAGAUUUUCUGCAUGCUUCCUCAAUAUGAUAAAAACAAACAAAA
Non-coding RNA from Pelobates cultripes (western spadefoot toad), 245 nucleotides. The record is from the annotation of a GenBank genome assembly. Lineage: Eukaryota; Metazoa; Chordata; Amphibia; Anura; Pelobatidae.